CCCUGCCAUUUGUACACACCGCCCGUCGCACCUACCGAUUGAACGUUCCGGUGAGACCUUGGGAUUUGGUCUUUGGUACUUUAUUGUGCCGUUGACCGAAAAACUUGAGCAAACCUUAACGUUUAGAGGAAGGU
This 134-nucleotide ribosomal RNA is filed under the name uncultured eukaryote. RNAcentral's name for it is "partial small subunit ribosomal RNA". It matches the Rfam family "Eukaryotic small subunit ribosomal RNA", at positions 1651 to 1784 of the family's 1831-position model. The record is from RNAcentral.